AUUGAACGCUGGCGGCAGGCCUAACACAUGCAAGUCGAGCGGAUGAGUGGAGCUUGCUCCAUGAUUCAGCGGCGGACGGGUGAGUAAUGCCUAGGAAUCUGCCUGGUAGUGGGGGACAACGUUUCGAAAGGAACGCUAAUACCGCAUACGUCCUACGGGAGAAAGCAGGGGACCUUCGGGCCUUGCGCUAUCAGAUGAGCCUAGGUCGGAUUAGCUAGUAGGUGAGGUAAUGGCUCACCUAGGCGACGAUCCGUAACUGGUCUGAGAGGAUGAUCAGUCACACUGGAACUGAGACACGGUCCAGACUCCUACGGGAGGCAGCAGUGGGGAAUAUUGGACAAUGGCGAAAGCCUGAUCCAGCCAUGCCGCGUGUGUGAAGAAGGUCUUCGG
This 390-nucleotide ribosomal RNA is filed under the name uncultured bacterium. RNAcentral's name for it is "bacterial SSU rRNA". It matches the Rfam family "Bacterial small subunit ribosomal RNA", at positions 30 to 421 of the family's 1533-position model. The record is from RNAcentral.